GUGGAAACUGAGGUUGAGGUAAAGUCCUCUGCUGACAAAUUCUUCGAAGCCAUCGCCGACUCCACUGCCCUUUUCCCGAAGCUCUUUCCCGAGCAGUACAAGAGCAUCGAGAUUGUCGAAGGGGACGGGAAGACUGUCGGCUCUGUUCGCCUCGUCACAUAUGCUGAAGGAAUGCCACUGGUGAAGAUCUCCAAGGAAAAGAUUGAGAUCGCUGACAAAGAUAACAAGACGGUGGCAUACAGUGUGAUCGAUGGGGAGAUCCUAGACUACUUCAAGCCCUUCAAGGCGACGGUGACGGUGGUACCGAAGGGUGAUGGAGCGUUGGUGAAGUGGAGCCUUGAGUAUGACAAGGUGAACGAUGAGGUGCCAGACCCGGACGUUGUUCAGGAGACAGCUGCGCAGACGUUCAGUGAUCUGGAUGCCUAUCUGCUCAAGAACUAAAAAUGGAGACAUGAUGCAGUGUUACCUCCAAUGAGUAUUCGAUAUAUGUUUUAAUAAGGGAAUGGAGGGAUGUUGUUGACCAAUGUUCCUCUCUACCCUCGUUAUGUUCUUGUUCCCAUUGUUGUUUUUACGAAUUAUUCUAAAGGUGUUUAUUAAAACAAGCUACCCUGCUUUUAAG
This 619-nucleotide unclassified non-coding RNA is filed under the name Hevea brasiliensis (rubber tree). Lineage: Eukaryota; Viridiplantae; Streptophyta; Magnoliopsida; Malpighiales; Euphorbiaceae. The record is from RNAcentral.